CACGUAGGGGACGAGCGUUGUCCGGAUUCAUUGGGCGUAAAGGGCGCGUAGGCGGCCCGCUAAGUCGAACGUGAAAUCCCCAGGCUUAACCUGGGAACUGCGUCCGAUACUGGUGGGCUUGAAUCCGGGAGAGGGAUGUGGAAUUCCAGGUGUAGCGGUGAAAUGCGUAGAUAUCUGGAGGAACACCGGUGGCGAAGGCGGCAUCCUGGACCGGUAUUGACGCUGAGGCGCGAAAGCUAGGGGAGCAAACGGG
Molecule: ribosomal RNA, 253 nt
Filed under: uncultured bacterium
Lineage: Bacteria
Description: partial 16S ribosomal RNA
Rfam family: Bacterial small subunit ribosomal RNA
Source: RNAcentral